This 562-nucleotide ribosomal RNA is filed under the name uncultured bacterium. RNAcentral's name for it is "bacterial SSU rRNA". It matches the Rfam family "Archaeal small subunit ribosomal RNA", at positions 726 to 1283 of the family's 1478-position model. The record is from RNAcentral.
AGUAAAUAGAUACCCGGGUAGUCCUAGCCGUAAACGAUACUCGCUAGGUGUCGGCCACGGUGCGACCGUUGUCGGUGCCGUAGGGAAAGCCGUGAAGCGAGCCACCUGGGAAGUACGACCGCAAGGCUGAAACUUAAAGGAAUUGGCGGGGGAGCACCACAACGGGUGGAGCUUGCGGUUUAAUUGGAUUCAACGCCGGAAAUCUUACCGGGACCGACAGCAAUAUGAAGGCCAGGCUGAAGACUUUGCCGGAUUAGCUGAGAGGUGGUGCAUGGCCGUCGUCAGUUCGUACUGUGAAAGCAUCCUGUUAAGUCAGGCAACGAGCGAGACCCACGCCCACAGUUGCCAGCGUACUCUCUGGAGUGACGGGUACACUGUGGGGACCGCCGCUGCUAAAGCGGAGGAAGGAAUGGGCAACGGUAGGUCAGUAUGCCCCGAAUAUCCCGGGCUACACGCGAGCUACAAUGGUUGGUACAAUGGGUAUCUACCCCGAAAGGGGACGGGAAUCUCCUAAAACCAAUCUUAGUUCGGAUUGGGGGCUGCAACUCGCCCUCAUGAAGCU